Molecule: long non-coding RNA, 760 nt
Organism: Impatiens glandulifera
Lineage: Eukaryota; Viridiplantae; Streptophyta; Magnoliopsida; Ericales; Balsaminaceae
Exons: 2
Source: RefSeq, a predicted model, not a curated record
GCGCAAAAAGAGAUUCUGUUUACCCUACUUCUUCCUUUUGAAGACAUGAAAGAUGAGUGGCCCAUCCUAUAAUGGUUUGGUUUGGUUUGGUUGGAUUGCGUUUUUAAUGCUUCUUUGGAAGCCGGAGCUGGUAGCGCAAGAGGACAACCAACCAAUAACCAACCAUUGGGUGCUCGGCUCUAUAACAACGUAAAAGGAAGAAGAAAUCGCAUUUAAGAAGAGACAACAUUUUUCAUGAAUUCGGACCAAACAAUCAUUCUCCCGACCAUCUUUGUUUGCUUUGUUCACUUCACUUUACCUUUUGCCGAUUUUUCUUUCAUAUUAUUAUUUAAUAUUACUAAUUAUUUUAAUAAUAAUCACUUUAAAUAUACAAUUUUCAUGCUUUUUUUUUAAUUUUGUUUUAUGUUACCAUUUACUAAAUUAAAUAAUUAGCUUUGAAUUUUUUUCCAUAUUUGAUUGUGUUAAUUUUGUUUUAAUCUUUUUUGCAGGAAGAAUGAACUGAAGAAAAAAUUUUAUUUUCUAUGUAAUAUAGAUGAUAUGAUAUUCAAAAAAAUAUUAUUAAAUGACUUGUUCUAUUAUUCCAGAUUUCAAAACACCCCAGUCAGAUUUUUUGGAUGAUUUACGGUGUUUUGAUUUUGGUUUAAGGAGAGUACGAAUCAUUUCAAUAUUGUUUGGAAAGAUACGUGGUAUAAGAUGGUUAGCUGUUCAAAGCAUAUUAGAUAUUUUUGAAUGAUUAUUUACUUUAAAUUUUGCCUCGAAA